AGGUUACUGCUAUCGGUGUUCGCCUAAGCCAUGCGAGUCAUAUGUUCGUAAGAACAUGGCGUACUGCUCAGUAACACGUGGAUAACCUGCCCUUGGGUCCGGCAUAACCCCGGGAAACUGGGGAUAAUUCCGGAUAACGCACAUAUGCUGGAAUGCUUUAUGCGUAAAAUGGAUUCGUCUGCCCAAGGAUGGGUCUGCGGCCUAUCAGGUAGUAGUGGGUGUAAUGUACCUACUAGCCUACGACGGGUACGGGUUGUGAGAGCAAGAGCCCGGAGAUGGAUUCUGAGACAUGAAUCCAGGCCCUACGGGGCGCAGCAGGCGCGAAAACUUUACAAUGCGGGAAACCGUGAUAAGGGGACACCGAGUGCCAGCAUCCUAUGCUGGCUGUCCGGGUGUGUAAAAUACACCUGUUAGCAAGGGCCGGGCAAGACCGGUGCCAGCCGCCGCGGUAACACCGGCGGCCCGAGUGGUGAUCGUGAUUAUUGGGUCUAAAGGGUCCGUAGCCGGUUUGGUCAGUCCUCCGGGAAAUCUGACAGCUUAACUGUUAGGCUUUCGGAGGAUACUGCCAGACUUGGAACCGGGAGAGGUAAGAGGUACUACAGGGGUAGGAGUGAAAUCUUGUAAUCCCUGUGGGGCCACCUGUGGCGAAGGCGUCUUACCAGAACGGGUUCGACGGUGAGGGACGAAAGCUGGGGGCACGAACCGGAUUAGAUACCCGGGUAGUCCCAGCCGUAAACGAUGCUCGCUAGGUGUCAGGCAUGGCGCGACCGUGUCUGGUGCCGCAGGGAAGCCGUGAAGCGAGCCACCUGGGAAGUACGGCCGCAAGGCUGAAACUUAA
This 838-nucleotide ribosomal RNA is filed under the name uncultured archaeon. RNAcentral describes it as "bacterial SSU rRNA". It matches the Rfam family "Archaeal small subunit ribosomal RNA", at positions 21 to 859 of the family's 1478-position model. The record is from RNAcentral.